GUCCCGUUCCGCCUCGUACCGUUGCGUGGGUCCAUAAGGCCAACCACAAGACUGGAAAAAGAAAAGCGCCUUUACUACACUUACAGAUAAUUGUUUGUUGAAUAGCUGUCUCUUACUAACUGAUACCGAACCUGCUCCUGCGUGAUCCGUUGCUGAUGAUCCCGGUGCAAGAAGGGAUUCUUGUUAAGUAUCAAUCAGAUCCCCUAACUUCCAAGAGGGCAUUCAUUCGUGAAACCUGUUUUGGCAUAUGCCUCUUCCUUGCUUGGACUAGCUUAGCGAAAGGGAAUACUGCCUUUAACAGCUGCCUAUUCUAUCGCGGAGUGAAGUCAAGAGAUGAGGCUUCAACUAGACAGAUCGACGAGAUUACUUGCUAAAGGAAUGCCGGGGGGCAUAGCAAAGGUAGGACUCGUUUUGAUUUCAUUUCGAAAAGAGCAAGAUGCUUUAGAGUCGGAAAUCAGUUCGGACAUAAUCCUCUUCUCUAGAGGAUUCUAAACCUUCCCCAG
This 503-nucleotide long non-coding RNA is filed under the name Elaeis guineensis (African oil palm). Its description in RNAcentral is "long non-coding RNA (EGUI_LNC020558)". The record is from RNAcentral. Lineage: Eukaryota; Viridiplantae; Streptophyta; Magnoliopsida; Arecales; Arecaceae.